RNAcentral lists this long non-coding RNA (3095 nucleotides) under Sus scrofa (pig). Its description in RNAcentral is "lncRNA (ENSSSCG00000052367.1)". Lineage: Eukaryota; Metazoa; Chordata; Mammalia; Artiodactyla; Suidae. The record is from RNAcentral.
UUGCUGGAUCAUAUGGUCGUCCUAUAUUUAGUUUUCUGAGGAACCGCCAUACUGUUUUCCAUAGUAAUUUUACCAAUUUGCAUUCCCACCAACAAUGAAGGAAAGUUCCCUUUGUUCCACAUCAUCUCCAGCAUUUGCUAUUUGUAGACUUAUUAAUUAUGACCAGUCUGAUUGUUGUGAGGUGGUAUCUCAUUACAGUUUUGAUUUGCAUUUCUCUAAUAAUUAGUGAUGAUGAGCAUAUUUUCAUGUGCUUGUCGGCCAUCUGAAUGUCUUUUGAGAAAUGUCUGUUUAGAUCUUCUGCCCAUUUUUUGUUUAGGUUGACUGUUUUGUUCUUGUUGAAUUGUAUGAGUUGUUUGUCUAUUUUGGAGAUUAAGCCCUUGUAGGUUGCAUUGUUUGCAAUCUUUUUCUCCCAUUUCACAGAUUAUCUUUCCUUUCUUUUUUUUUUUUUUUUUUUGAAUGGUUUCCUUUGCUGUGCAGAAGCUUGUAAGUUUGAUUAGGUUCCAUUUAUUUAUUUUUGUUUUUAUUUUCUAUUGCCUUGAGACAUUGACCUAAGAAAACAUGUGUAUGAUUUUUGUCAGAGCAUUUUUGCCUAUGUUCUCUUCUGGGAGUUUUAUGGUGUCAGGUCUUAUGUUUAAGUCUUAGAGCCAUUUUGAAUUUAUUUUGGUACAUGAUGUGAGGGUGGAAAAACACAGGUUUUUCUUCAAGCAACUCAGUCAAGUAUGGGAAAGAAAGAGACAAACAAUAAGGAAAUUACUUUUAAGACUUUCAUGGGGAAUAGGUAAGUACAAUGGGAGGCCUGCCAAAGAAACACAGAAAGGUCUGGGGAGUCAUGAAGGGCUUCACUGAAGACUGUUGAAAUAACUUUCUUGGCUCAAGAUGGGGGGGCUAAGCGCAACAUGGCACCUCUUCUGUGAUCUACAGGCAAUGGGAACAAACCACAGCAGUCAUCUUAGAAACAAGAGGGGUGCUUGGCCUGCCACCAUUGAGGGGUCUGUGAACAGACUCCACCUGUAGCCCCAGUCACCUCAGAGAUUGGCAAAAAAAAAAAAAGAGGGCACUGCAACUGAGCACCACCUGUUAAUGCUCUCACUCCCCUGGGAACACACUUGCCCUGCUGCUGCCAGUGCCAAAUGCUCUCUAGGUAGCACGCAUAUAUGCUUGACAGUAUCACUUCCCAGGACUCUGCAAAUAGGAGCAGCCUAGGCAGCACCUCCUGCAUGGGCUAGUGGGACAGGGUGCUUCUUGCCUGGUCUACAGGUGGUGGGGGCAAAGCACUGCAGUUAUUUAUCUCUGACUCCAGCGGUGGGCUUGGCCUGCCACCACUAGGGAUCUGUGAACAGGAACCACUUGUGGCCCAAAUCAUCUCAGAGGGCACCACAGAGGAGGUCACUGUUACCAAACACCAUCUGUUGUUGCUCUCACACCCCUGGGAACUCACACACCCUGCCACUGCCACUGGAAAAUGUUCUUGGCACUGCCUAAAUCUGCCUGAGGCUCAUUACCACUUCCCAGGGCCUUGCAACAAGGAGUAGUCUGCACCAACUUCCUACAGUUCCUUGCUACUGUCAAGAGCCCAGCAACCAGGCACUGACUGCUAGCUCUGCUCAUUGCCUCCUUCUCCCUGGAAACACACUCAGCACCCUAUCAAAGGGAUAUAUAACUCACACUGAAGAAAGAGACAGCAAAUAUCCAAACUUUCAUGCCCAAAAUAAAUAAUACCCCCUCACAAAAUACAAAGGGGUGCUCUUGCAUAGAAAUAGCCCUCUAACAUUAAAGUACUUGGUUUCCCUAAACUCACAGGAAAAGGAAAAUACAAGCAAAAUGAAGAACUUCAGGAACCAUUCCCAGUUAAAAGAACAGGAAAAAUUACCCAAAGCAGCAAACAAUGAAACAGACCUCUGUAGUCUAAUAGACACUCAGUUUAAAAGGGACAUAAUGAAAAUACUCAAGGAAUUACUGGUGAAUAUGAAGGAAUUAAGAGUGGAUAUAAACAAUAAUGCAGAUUACUCUAGGAAGGAACUAGAAAAUAUAAGGAUGAGCCAAGAAAAAUUACAAAAUUCAUUUUCAGAGACACAAACUGAGUCAAAGGCACAAAAGAGCAGAAUGAAAAAUGCAGAGGAAUGAAUUAGUGAGUGGAAGAUAGAAUAAUGGAAAUCACCCAAUCAGGACAUCAAAUAGAAAGUGAAAUGAAAAAACAUAGAGGCAGUAUAAGAAAUCUAUGGGAUAAUAUAAAGCAGGCCAAACUAUACAUAAUAGGGAUCCCAGAAGGAGAAAAAAAGAAAAGGGGAUUGAAAAUAUAUUAGAAGAAAUUAUGUCUGAAAACUUUUCAAAUCUAAAGGAAACAUAUCAAUAUACAGGGAGCACAGAGGGCCCCAAAAAAGUUGAACCCAAACAGGCACACACCAAGAUAUAUUAUAAUAAAAAUGGCAAAAGUUAAAGAGAGGAUUCUAAAGGCAGCAAAAGAAAAACAAAGCAUUAAUUAUAAGGGAACCCCCAUAGGGCUAUCGGCUGAUUUCUCUACAGAAACACUACAGACCAGAAGGAGUGUAAGAUAUAUUCAACGUUCUAAAAGGGAAAAAUUUGCAGCUAGGAUACUCUACCCAGCAAGAAUAUCAUUUAAAAUAAAAAGAAAAAUAAGGAAUUUCUCCACAAACAAAAACUGAAAGAGUACAGCAAUACUAAAUCCAUUCUAUGAGAAAUACUGAAAGGGCUUCUCUAAAUGAGAAAGAAGUAAGAAUAAAUAGGAUGGAGGAGAUCACAAUUGGAAAACAAUCACUUAAAUAAGCCAAUAUACAGAUCUAAAAGGAAAAAAAAAACACUAUUGUAAACAUGGUGAUAAACACAAGGAACAGCAAAAGUACGAACAUGAAGAUAUUAAAAAAGGACUUCACAAUCAUAGAAUGUGGGGAAGGAAAGUAAGAAAAUCUAGAAUUUUUUUUUUUUUUUUAGAAUGUGUUUGAGCCUAUAUGACUAUCAGGCUAAAGCAAGUAGAUAUAGGAAGGGGUUGACAUACAAAAAGGCAACCACAAAUCAAAACCAAACAUUACAUUCACAAAAACUAAAAAGAAAAGGACACAAGCAUAAAAUAAAAGGAA